UAGCCAGAAUACGUAUUUUAUUAGGCAGAGAAAAUACUGUUCAGAAGAAGAAAAAACACCAAAAAUAAAUUUCUGUCACACAUCGAUUCCUCUCACACGGCAUAGGAAGGUCACUAGUGCGUCAAAGAGAAACAAAAACAUCUCCAAUCUACACGUGGAUGACCAGCGGGAGGUUAGAUGGAUGAAAUCACGGCCAAAAGCCCGGCGAGGCUCAGGUGCUGUUCACCCUCCUGUCGUCCUGCGGGUCAAAAUGACCUGUUUUAAAGUUUGAAGAUAGAAUAGAAUAGAAUAGAAUAGAAUAUUCUUUAUUGUCAUUAUACAAUGUAUAAUGAGAUUGCAGAGCUUCUCCUUUACAGUGCAAGGAAAUCUUAAAGUAGUGCAAAAAAAGAUGUGGAGAAAAGAGAUCUUUUCACAGUGAAACUUCUGAUGUCACAAUUUUUGGGAAAUUUUUGAACAUUUUUUGGUGGAAAAGAAAUGUUUAAAAAAAUGUUUCUUAAGAUCAUUCACAAAAAAAUCAACCAAAAUCCAGAGAAGUGGUUUUUUUAGGGGAUUUUCUUUCUCUUUUUUUAAUUUCUUGUCUCGUUUUUGUCCAUUUUUUUGUCGCUUUGUAACUUUUUUGUCUAAUUUUUUGUCUCUUUUUUUGUUUAGUUUGUGUCAUUUUUAGAAAAUAUUUACAAGAAUUUUCUUGCCAAAUUUGGAGACUUCUAAGGGAAACUUUUAAGGAAUUAUUGGAAUUUUCUUCCUGAAGGUUUUUGCAAAUUUUCAGAAAUUUGGGUCUUUUUUUACAGAUUUUUUUGGGAUUUUUUUCAGACCAGGAAACAGUGCCAGUAAAUGAGGACAACAGGAGGGUUAAAGCAGAGCGUGAUGGCCUUCAGUGAGCACAUCUGAGACAGAGUUCCUGAUUCUCCACACCAUGAAGACACGGAGACAAGAGAGGCAGGUGGCACUGGUGUGGUUGAGUCUCUUUUUUUUUCUUUUUCAUUCUCUUGUGACGGGCAAAUUAGCAAACAUGAGGUGUCAGAGUGAACAACAUCAGCCGAAAAGGUAGUAAAUACACAAAGAGGGCCGGGUCCUCUGGAUGGAGAGGAACGUGAGCUUGAAGACCAUGGCUGAGUGAUUAAAUCUCCUGAAAGAGCCGGAGAGAGGGAAGGCAGCUGGGGUCGGAUUUGGCAGCUUGUCGUGACCGGAGCUCUCAGGGACGAUGGGACCCGUUCCACUUUUUUUUCCCCAUGUGAAACAGGAGCCGUUCCAAGGCAGAAAAACCCCGCUUUGACUCAAUGCAACAUGACACAAUCAGACUAGUACACAAACAUGCAGACUUAUACAAAGGCAGAACUUUACAAAGUCAUGCAGAUGGAAUGUUUUGAUAUUUCUGUAGCUGAGUCUGACUCAAGUAUAUUCGGCUGGCUGGCCUGAAGUCUAUUUUUUUUUGAGGGCAUUUAUAGGGAACUACCGUAAUUCAGCCUCGGGGCCAUCGUGACACGCUGGAAAAAUGCAACCAUGUCAGUCUUUUGAUGAGGAAAGAAAGAGUGAAGGGGCUUUACAGAGCUGAAUAUAAAUAAGUCCCUCAGACAUGGUGGUAGUUUCCUUAAAAUUCUAGCCUUGUCUCUUAAGGAGGUAGUCUGACCCAGAAAGAAUUACACAGGACUUCAAAAAACUUCUUUCUCUGAACACAUUGUCAAGAUCAGGGGUGUCAAACAUGCGGCCUGUGGGCCAAAACUGGCCCUCCAGAGGGUCCAAUCCGGCCCUCAAAGUGUAAAAAUUACAGAGAAGAUAUUAAGUGCAAUUUGUAAAGCCAUAAAUUUAAGAUAAUUUCUAGUUCAGGACAAGUUGUUUUGAUCAUAAAGUAAAAUACUAGAUUGUUCUUCUGUCGUUUUAUGUCUCGUUUUUGUAAUAGUUUCUUGUUUUUUUUUACUGACUUGUCACUUGUCUGAAGUUUUUGUUGUUUUGUUGUUUUUCUCAUUUCUCACUUGUGUUGUUUGUCUUAUUUUUAUUAUUUUGUGUUUUGCUUUAUUCACUGUUUUGAUUUUUUGUCUUGCUUGUGUCAUUUGUGUAAUUUCUUGUCUUGUUUUUGUCACUUUAACUUUUAUGUCAAUUUGUUUGGCUCUUUUUUGUUUUGUUUUGUGUUGUUUGUCUUAUUUUUUGUUGUUUUGUGUCUCCUGUUUUGUCUUGUUUUUGUUGUUUUUGUGUCUGACUUUUGUCAUUUUGAUCAUACAGUAAAAUACUAUAUUGUUCAGUUCCAGAUAGCUGUGACUAAAUGUUGUGUUCCUUUGUCGACACUCUGUGAUCUGGAAGUUGUAAUGUGGAAAUGAUAAACUGAGGUAUAAUGUUGAAUUUGAACUUAUUUUUCACAAAAAAUUUCAGGUUGUUCAUGAUGUUUUGUAAAAAGAUAAUUCCUUCAAUGUGAACAUUUUCAAAAUGUGCCUUUUUUGCACUAAAAGGAAAAAAUUGCAGUUGUGGAUAUUUAUAGAUUAUUAUGCUGUGAUUUUACUGGUCACUUGAGAUCAUAUUGGGCUGAAUGUGGAACCUGAACUAAAGUGAGUUUGACACCCCUGGUCAAGAUCAUCCUGAGUACAAACACUUUUUCGAUGAGUCAUGUUGAUUCUUAAAGGAUAGUUUGACAUUUUGGGAAUAACUUUGUUCACAUUUUUUGGUUGAUGAUGAGAAGUUACCACUCAUACCUGAUCUAUCUGGUAAAUGUGAGACUACAGUCACAAUCUGGUGGUUGAAAGAGGUAGCCUGGUUCUGUCCAAAAGCAACAAAAUAAGCCUAUCAAUACCCCUGAAACUCGCUAAUUAACAUGUCGUGAAAAUGUGUUUAAGCCAAUGAUUCCUAACUAAUGUAGAAUGGAUAUCUAGCCUUUAGUCGAAAGCUUCCACAACCUGAGUGAAUAUAUGUGCAGCAGGAAAGAUUCAGUGAAAACUAGCUGCAAGUUACAAAUAAACAGGUUUAAACUAAAAAGAAUGGAUAAAUGAUUAAUCACUUCUUGGUAAAGCUAAUGAGCAACCAG
This is a long non-coding RNA of Amphiprion ocellaris (clown anemonefish), 3010 nucleotides long. Lineage: Eukaryota; Metazoa; Chordata; Actinopteri; Pomacentridae. The record is from Ensembl.